GAUGAACGCUGGCGGCGUGCCUAAUACAUGCAAGUCGAGCGAACAGACGAGGAUCUUGCUCCUCUGACGUUAGCGGCGGACGGGUGAGUAACACGGGGAUAACCUACCUAUAAGACUGGGAUAACUUCGGGAAACCGGAGCUAAUACCGUAUAAUAUAUUGAACCGCAUGGUUCAAUAGUGAAAGACGGUGUUGCUGUCACUUAUAGAUGGAUCCGCGCCGCCUUAGCUAGUUGGUAAGGUAACGGCUUACCAAGGCAACGAUGCGUAGCCGACCUGAGAGGGUGAACGGCCACACUGGAACUGAGACACGGUCCAGACUCCUACGGGAGGCAGCAGUACGGACUCCUCCGCAAUGGGCGAAUGCCUGACGGAGCAACGCCGCGUGAGUGAUGAAGGUCUUCGGAUCGGAAAGCUCUGUUAUUAGGGAAGAACAAAUGUGUAAGUAACUAUGCACGUCUUGACGGUACCUAAUCAGAAAGCCCCGGCUAACUACGUG
RNAcentral lists this ribosomal RNA (497 nucleotides) under uncultured bacterium. RNAcentral describes it as "partial 16S ribosomal RNA". It matches the Rfam family "Bacterial small subunit ribosomal RNA", at positions 28 to 507 of the family's 1533-position model. The record is from RNAcentral.